RNAcentral lists this unclassified non-coding RNA (329 nucleotides) under soil metagenome. RNAcentral describes it as "partial contains 5.8S ribosomal RNA, internal transcribed spacer 2, and large subunit ribosomal RNA". The stretch from base 1 to 120 matches the Rfam family "5.8S ribosomal RNA", at positions 35 to 154 of the family's 154-position model. The record is from RNAcentral.
GAUGAAGAACGUAGCGAAAUGCGAUAAGUAAUGUGAAUUGCAGAAUUCAGUGAAUCAUCGAAUCUUUGAACGCACAUUGCGCCCUCUGGUAUUCCGGGGGGCAUGCCUGUUCGAGCGUCAUUAUAACCACUCAAGCUCUCGCUUGGUAUUGGGGUUCGCGGUUCCGCGGCCCCUAAAAUCAGUGGCGGUGCCUGUCGGCUCUACGCGUAGUAAUACUCCUCGCGAUUGAGUCCGGUGGGUCUACUUGCCAGCAACCCCCAAUUUUUACAGGUUGACCUCGGAUCAGGUAGGGAUACCCGCUGAACUUAAGCAUAUCAAUAAGCGGAGGA